GACGAACGCUGGCGGCGUGCCUAAUACAUGCAAGUAGAACGCUGAAGGAGGAGCUUGCUUCUCCGGAUGAGUUGCGAACGGGUGAGUAACGCGUAGGUAACCUGCCUGGUAGCGGGGGAUAACUAUUGGAAACGAUAGCUAAUACCGCAUAACAGUAGAUAUCGCAUGAUAUCUGCUUGAAAGGUGCAAUUGCAUCACUACCAGAUGGACCUGCGUUGUAUUAGCUAGUUGGUGAGGUAACGGCUCACCAAGGCGACGAUACAUAGCCGACCUGAGAGGGUGAUCGGCCACACUGGGACUGAGAAACGGCCCAGACUUCUACGGGAGGCAGCAGUAGGGAAUCUUCGGCAAUGGACGGAAGUCUGACCGAGCAACGCCGCGUGAGUGAAGAAGGUUUUCGGAUCGUAAAGCUCUGUUGUAAGAGAAGAACGAGUGUGAGAGUGGAAAGUUCACACUGUGACGGUAUCUUAACAGAAAGGGACGGCUAACUACGUG
RNAcentral lists this ribosomal RNA (495 nucleotides) under uncultured bacterium. Its description in RNAcentral is "partial 16S ribosomal RNA". It matches the Rfam family "Bacterial small subunit ribosomal RNA", at positions 28 to 507 of the family's 1533-position model. The record is from RNAcentral.